GGUAAGGAACCCGGAAGUGAGAAGGGCUAGAUAUGCUAAAUGCUCGACUGCUGUGUUUUGCAGCCAUGUUAUGAAUAAAAGCAAGAGGAAAGUUUACUUCCUGGAAGAGCUGUGCGCCAUUUUCCCUCUGACAUUAUGUCACUGUACUUCGAUUAUUUUUUCCCUAUGACAUGGAAAGGCGUAGGCCUAUUGAUGGCUGGUAUCUUCGGACACAGAAACAGCAGAACGGCUCCAAUCAUCAGAAGAACCAGAGCACCAGCGAGAACCAAAGGCCACACCAGCACUGAAAAGAACAUGAGAGGAAUACGGGAGGAAGAUGAAAAAACGUGAAAGAAACAUGGGUGGAUUACAACAACAACGCAGGAUGAUCGGUAGGGCAUUGAGAAUCAAUUGAGUGGAACAUGUGAAGAACAUUAGAGGAGAAGAAUGUGUGGAGAACCACCAGACUAAACCUGGAAGGAACAUAACCUAUAGUAUGUCAAAUACUUGCUGGAACACGGAAGGAAUUGUGGUGGAUUAGGGUGGUAAAAAUAUGAGGAACAUGUAAGGAACUUUGGAGGAACUUGAGAGCCCAUUAGACAACGUUAAGGCAACAUUAAAGCACUUUGUGAAGGACAGUGAAUCAGAUGGAGAGAUGAAUGUGUUCUACCUGUUGGUCUGUUCUCAGAGGACUCUCUUCUACCUUCUGACUCUACUUUUCCAUCGAGCGGCAGACCUUAGAAGUUCACACACCAUGUCAGCAACCACAUGCACUUGAAGAGGAAAGCAUCUUAACAUCGUAAUGAAGCUCACCAUCAGAAACGCUGACAUCAAACUCCUGAAUAUAAGCAGACCGCAGAGAUGAUCCCACAGCGCAUGUAUACCUCCCUGAAUCUGACUUGUCCAACUGGGAGAUGGUGACCACCAGAAGAUACAUUUUCAUUAAGGGUUCCGGUCUGAAGUCCACGCAGUACCUGUCCACACAAGCACUGUUUUCUGUGGUUCUCAGGAGGAUGUGUCCAUCCAGACAGUUUCCUUUACAAAAGAACUUUGUGCUCCAGGAGGCAUGGAAGGGACACUGUAUCUCCAGCGUGCCUCCAGCAGGUCCAGUGUGGAUGUGGACUUCUGGACUGGGAACAGAACUUCGAUACUGCUGUUCUGCUGAAACAAGUCACAGUGAGGACUUCCUGUGGUGUAUACUUUUAUACAUUCUUUUCCCACUUAUAUCCGCAUUGACUCACCUGGAAGAACUCUGAUCUCAAAGUCCCUGUAGGACUCGGGAAGUUCAGGCAAUCCCACCCCCAUCCUGUAGCGGCCGCUGUCGGCCGUGUUGAGAUUGAGGAUUGUGGCGUAGAGGGUCCCUCCUACAGGCGGCGUGUGUUCAUACUUGAUGCUGUGUCUGUCGUUGUGAGAGCUGACGCCGGUGGUUUGAACCAGAAUGUCCGUGUCUUUGCAUUGGUUUUUGCAGAAGUACUUUGUGCCGCUGGUUAGAAAUUGCCACAAGAUUGUGAAGUUUUUCCCCUCGGUUCUUUGAAAGAUGACGAGGCCGGCGCUUGUGUUGGUCAGUGCUGAGAACACAGCAGGAAGAUCUUCUAUGAACCUAACCACUUCUACUGUGUACCUGGCGUUAAAGAGAACAAAUACUGAAGAAACAAGGCUGUCUUCCUGGAAGAAAACCACGCAGUGAGGAUCAGAAGGCUGAAUUUAAUGCGUACACAUUUUCAUUGUUUUGACAUAAGUCCUGAUUAGUCAGCCCACAAACUUUCCAGUGCCCCCUUGUACGAAUGGGCAAGGGCCGGAAAACUGCUAUGGUAGAUGAUCUGGUAAAGCUGUUGUUCUCCCUUUUUAUAGUCAGGAACUGAUAUUUCCCUGAAAUUGACCCAUGUUCUCCUGCUUAUUACUAAGGAACGCUUUCUGAUGAAAGACAAGACGGUCAUAUCCAUCCAUCCAUCUGGCUGGCACACAAGAUGGCAGGAACACAACAAGAAUAUGGGAGCAACUGCAUAAACAAAAAAACCUACAUCCCAUAAUGCUCCAUCAGCGGAAGGAAGGGAGGAGUCGGGGGCGGCUGAGGGGAGGAAUCUCCUUGGCCCUGGUGAUGGUGACCUUUACCCCUCCCCGAGGUCCCACCAUACUGGAAGGAGAUGUCUGUCUGGGUGGCGUUUUCGACGCAGUUGGGAACUGCGACCAUGGCGAUGGAGGAGAUGGAGCUGCUUGUCCCGUUUCCUACGCAUGGGAUGCCACCUAGAAGAUGUUUUCAAGGCAGCAUCCUCCUCCAGAUGUUGGAGGGGGAAUCCGCCUCCCACUCGUCCCAUGCAGGGCGCUCCACGUCUGGGCAGUGCUACCACGGCAACCCCCGUCUUCUUUCUUCCCUCUCCGUGCUUCCUCCGUCACAGCCGGAGAGAACGCUGCACCUUCCUGCCGCACGGAGCCAGCAGACGUCGGGAUGUUUAACAUUCCAAUAAAAAAUCCUGACGAAGAGGAAGAGGAGCAGCUCUGAUCUCCGUGCUCACUCGUCUUCUUCUGCAGCGUCCUGCUUCGCUCGGAGGCGACACAGCCAGCCAAU
Doryrhamphus excisus (bluestripe pipefish) is the source of this 2545-nucleotide non-coding RNA. NCBI's taxonomy places the organism in Eukaryota, Metazoa, Chordata, Actinopteri, Syngnathiformes, Syngnathidae. The record is from RefSeq and is a predicted model, not a curated record.